Non-coding RNA from Acanthosepion pharaonis, 113 nucleotides. The record is from the annotation of a GenBank genome assembly. NCBI's taxonomy places the organism in Eukaryota, Metazoa, Mollusca, Cephalopoda, Sepiida, Sepiidae.
UAUGGCCACAUCACGUUGAAACUCCGAUUCCCGUUCGAUCACCGAAGUUAAGCAACGUCGAGCCUGGUCAGUACCUAUGUAGGUGACAGCUGGAGAAUACCAGGUGUUGUAAG